Molecule: ribosomal RNA, 497 nt
Filed under: uncultured bacterium
Lineage: Bacteria
Description: partial 16S ribosomal RNA
Rfam family: Bacterial small subunit ribosomal RNA
Source: RNAcentral
GAUGAACGCUGGCGGCGUGCCUAAUACAUGCAAGUCGAGCGAACGGACGAGAAGCUUGCUUCUCUGAUGUUAGCGGCGGACGGGUGAGUAACACGUGGAUAACCUACCUAUAAGACUGGGAUAACUUCGGGAAACCGGAGCUAAUACCGGAUAAUAUUUUGAACCGCAUGGUUCAAAAGUGAAAGACGGUCUUGCUGUCACUUAUAGAUGGAUCCGCGCUGCAUUAGCUAGUUGGUAAGGUAACGGCUUACCAAGGCAACGAUGCAUAGCCGACCUGAGAGGGUGAUCGGCCACACUGGAACUGAGACACGGUCCAGACUCCUACGGGAGGCAGCAGUAGGGAAUCUUCCGCAAUGGGCGAAAGCCUGACUGAGCAACGCCGCGUGAGUGAUGAAGGUCUUCGGAUCGUAAAACUCUGUUAUUAGGGAAGAACAUAUGUGUAAGUAACUGUGCACAUCUUGACGGUACCUAAUCAGAAAGCCACGGCUAACUACGUG